RNA transcript from Haliotis rubra (blacklip abalone), 3426 nucleotides. RefSeq lists it as uncharacterized. The transcript is spliced from 4 exons. The record is from RefSeq and is a predicted model, not a curated record. Lineage: Eukaryota; Metazoa; Mollusca; Gastropoda; Lepetellida; Haliotidae.
AUAUGUCACUAAGUGUUCAACAUGAUGCUUACAGAUCAUUUCCCAUGGCGUGGUUUCCUGCACAUUUCAAUUCUUCGUUGGUAUUUCAACAAACACUAUCAGCUACCGCAUAGGAAGCCAUUUGUUCACUCGUAAAGUCUCCAGGGUAAUAAUGAGCCAGACAUUGAUCGAUAGAUCAAUCCAUAUUACUUUCAAUCAUAUAUAUGUAUGUAAGUCCAAUUUCGUUGAAAGUAUUUUUUCAUAAUAAGUAUUUUAAUUGCAGAAUAUGUGUUCUUUUAAUCUUUGGCUAAAUUUGACAACAAUAGCCCCCCCCCAUGGUUCCUAGUAUGGUGAUCUACCCUUAGUUGUUGGCGAUCUAUAACCCGUUUUUAUAUUGUGUUGUCCCAAAUUUGUGUAUAAUUUUAAUAUUAGUUUAAAUAUUUCAAAUUGUGAUAUUCAAGUCGUUUUACUGUCCUUUGUCGACAGACAUUAUAUUUAAAUAUCAACUAUUGUUAACGUGUCACCUGUUUUAGUCUACCAUUAUGAAUUUUGAAUUUCAUGAAUUAUGAUUUGAUAAUAAACAAGUUGUCUACAUAAGCUGUCAUUAUGUCAAGACAGUAUAACAUCUUAACUGUCAAGGGCGUAAGGCGACUAAUCGGAACAGCCACUUGGACAUGCAAAUGUGCAUGGAGUCACUAUCAGUGACGGACAAAAGGGGUCAUCUCAAAAUCAGAUACAUCACAUUAUCAGAUGGUGCCUCGCCAUUUAACAUGAAGCAAAAAGGAAUACAAGGUAGUAUCAGCGAUCAUGUUGAUUUUUUUCAAAUGCCAUUAAUCAGAACUGAUAAGUAAUGGUCAUUCGCUUGAAAAGCAUAGAAAUUGGCAAGGAAGGCAAAACGUUGGAUUUAUAAUGCAUUGAAACAGAAAUGAUAGCAAAUGUUGAUUGCUGUCAAGGUAUGAAUGAUACUGUCAGAAUCUGAUUCAUUCUGAUUCAUCCAUAGGACAUGUGUCAUGCCGUCAGUUCAGUAAAGGAGAAAACAUGACACUUCUCUACGGACGUGCUUCCCAUCACCAGUAUUCCCUUCUGCAUCUGAGACGUGAACGUUAAUGUUCCGUCGUAAAAAUUGCUCGUGGGACUGAGCGUCUUUCACAGAUGCCGUAGAUGCAUAGAUGUCUAUUCGUGCAGCUACAUCUGUUGCCAGAUGCGGUACCGGCUGUAAGGGUUGCUGGCUGGAACCUGUUUCACACGUGCGUUGUUGAAACUUGAUGUAGUGUCAUGACUCGUGGUCGGGCACUGACGGUCUAUAAUUUGAUUGUUUUGCUGAAACCGAGACCAUAUGCGCCAAAUGGUGUUUCCAUAUGGUUGAAAGGAGCAUAAUCAUGCUGCUAAUGGAAAAGAAGUAUUCGGCACUUAUUUAGACUGCGUUCAGAUGUAAAGUAAUUUAUAAUGUCGCAUUCAAUAGAAAUAACCCACAAUAAUUCCCAUUAGGUAUAAUGCCUCAGAUGUUGAUUGAUCAAUCAGUCUAAUUGUCAACUAUCCAUUAACGGCUGAUUGCAACUUCGGACAAUUGGUUCCGUUUGUCGUGAUGUUUGAUUAUGGGGACUGAUAUACUCCCAAUAUCCAUUUCAACGUUUUGUGGACCUAAUGUGCAUUCGGCGUUCUGUGGUGACUGGAGUAACACAUGGAGACAGUUACUUCAAACACUGUAAACGGAACCAUCAGAUGGUAUAACUUACAAAGAGACACAACGAACAUUUAGUAUCCAGUCUGUGAAAGAUGUUUAAGGUUUCCCCAGACAACGUUGGUUCAUCCAGUCAAACAGAUGAUGUACAGGACACACUGACAAGUAUCCAGAAACUGAUAGCAUUGUCCGGCUUAUCAUGGGACUAUCAGCAGUCAAAGUCAGCCAAAUGGUGCAACGUCUCGGUAGUAGCUUCCAGGAUAUAUUCAAGUUUGGUUUUCAUACUUCUUUCUCUGAAUUUUAUCCAGAUGAUACCAUACUAUACGAAAGCAGGAUCAUUCUCGGAAACAAGUCUCACCAUAUCAAAUAGCAUCGCACUUUUUUUAUUUCUAACCUAUUGGGCUCUCAGUACCAACAUCCACAGCAAGGUUCGUACAUUCCACGAACGUCUCCGUGAAACAAGGAUGAAGUUUAACAGUUGUGUUCCAGCAACUAGGUUGAGUCAGAGAAUGAAGAUGGCGUGUGUAUGUAUGCUGGUCUUCGCAGCAUGUGCCUGUGUUUCCAGUGGCGUAGCCCAGGGCACGAUGGGUGACACAUCGAGUGACUGGUAUUGGCCUUUGCUUGUAUUAUCGUCGAUAGUUGGUGGCUGUACCUGUCUGCUAAACAAUUCGUUAUUGCUUCUGUUUUUGUCCAUCUCACUUCUCCUUACUUAUGAGUAUGAUAAUUGCACAUUGAGACUGUCAAGGGCUAAUAAAGGAUCUGUCGAAGAAGAAGAUAUUGAGGACAUUCGAGGGUAUCAUGCAUCUUUAACAGAUCUAGUUGAACAUGUGUGUACCCUCAUGUCCAGACACGUCGCUGCUGGGUACGUCAGCUCCUUCCUCAUUGUGUGUUUCUGCCUGUACAGCGGCAUCAACAACGAGAAAUCCAUUGCCAACAUUGGUAUAGUUGCAGCUGCUCUGUAUAUAUCUAUAUUGCAUCUCAUCGCCCUCACAUAUAUUGGUGUCAGACUACACGAAGCGGUAAGUGUUAAAUUUCAUUUUUGCCCAAAUAAAAUCAUGUUUUCAGAUCUAAGCAGAAAUUAUUCGUAUGAUUGAGUAUGAUUGUACUUUAAUGUACAAUUUAGGUUAACAAUGUUCCCAAUUCAGUAGUUGAAUUAUCUAUUCAUAUUUAAAUGACGACACCAAUAACAGCUUUUUGUUUUCGUUAUAGACACUGUGCAACUGAAUGAAAUCAUACGAUUUCCUAUGUAGCUACUAAUGGGGGCACACCGACCUCUGAAUCUUCUCCUGGACAUGACUGGGGAAAAUAUGCCUGAUAGAGUUAUUGGACUGAUGCAGGUCACACUGUUCGCCAACAAGUUGUCUCAACGUCAGAUCGGAAUCAGCGCUUUAGGCCUCAUGACCAUCACGAAGGACACUAUCCUAACGAUCAUCGGCACCCUCCUCACCUACGUUUUCAUUGUGGUACAGUUUAAGCCGGACUCAACGGCUGGAAUUCAACACAAUGGAAACGCUACGACAGCAUAACUUGACCAACUCGUAUUUGAUUUGAAGUUCAUUCUUUUUGUAUUCAUGGUCAUUUUGUUUAAGGUUGUAAUGUGUUGACUUUGUUGCUAUGGAAACAUAGAAUAUUGUUGCGAGGGGACGUUUCCAAACCUUUUGAGAUUGAUUGAUUUAGAUAGAGAAAACUAUUUGAAUCGAUCACGGACAAUGUGUAACUUGGCUUUCUCACAUCUAUGCAGUAUACCUGUAUUUGAUUUGAACUCA